This 1105-nucleotide long non-coding RNA is filed under the name Gallus gallus (chicken). The record is from RNAcentral. Lineage: Eukaryota; Metazoa; Chordata; Aves; Galliformes; Phasianidae.
CAUAAAUGCAUUAAAAUUCAAAACAACAGGUUCACGUGCUUUUAAGUACAUAUCAAACCAGGGACCUGUGAUGUAACUAGUAUGCUUGUUCUGGUUGUCUUGAGCAACCAGUUGCUCAUGCAGCUCUCUUCCAAUUCCCUUUUCAAACUGAUGAGCAAGUUCUUCAGUUUUCCUGAACUGGUCAUCAUUUAAAAGAGGUUUCUGGGCGUUCAGGUAUCUCCUAAUUGUAUCUUCUAGUUUGGGAACAGGCAGUCUGGGCAGGCUCUUCUGGUAGUGCAUGGUGGGCACGAUGCUGCGGUGCAGGAACUCGGCAGCGCCCGCGCUGCUGUACGCCCGCCGCCAACAGCCCAACACGACCCGCCCCACCGCCAGCUGCCGCGCCGCCAUGUUGGCCCGUCACGCGCCGCUCCCCUCACGGCUCCUCCCGCUGCCGCCGCCCCGGUCGGGAUUGAGGAGCGCCCGCCCCGCGGUGGGGACUCCCCUGAGUGUACCCUCGGCCGGGCCUCGCGGGCCGUGAGGGGCUCAGAAGGUCGUCUGAAGGGCCAGCAGUGCCGGCAGCGCUCAGCUCGGGAAGCGCUCCUGGUGCACUGCUUCAUCUGGAAGGUGCUUGUGUGCAUACCGUAGCGGCAGCAUUGUGUCUGCACUGAGAUGGCAGUAUGGGUUCAGUACUUUCUUGCAUAAGCAUUAAUAAAAUUUUACAUGAUUGUGUUGUUUUGUCAGCACUCCCAUUCACCACAUAGAAUCCAUAUAUUUCUCUUCUGUUUUGUGGAUGUGCGCAUGUGUGCCCGUAUGUCUUACAGACCAUACAGUGUUCUAUUUGAGCUUCCAGGACUAUCUGCUGACCCUUGAACUCACUGUUCACUCACCCCUUUGCUCACACAUGAGCACAUACCUACACACCCUGCCUUGCAAUAUAAAACAAAGCACUGCAAAUACCCAAAUUUGUUCUGUGGAGUAUUUUCCAUAAAAAUACUGAACGAUCUCUGAGUAGCUCGGGCUGUGCAGCAGCAUUUCAGUGAGCGCAGCACGGUGAGCAGUCAUGGCUCUGUAUUUCUGCUCAUAACAGCAUUGGUACUGAGUGCAGACACGGUGAAGGAAAGGAAAG